GAUGAACGCUGGCGGCGUGCCUAAUACAUGCAAGUCGAGCGAACAGACGAGGAGCUUGCUCCUCUGACGUUAGCGGCGGACGGGUGAGUAACACGUGGAUAACCUACCUAUAAGACUGGGAUAACUUCGGGAAACCGGAGCUAAUACCGGAUAAUAAAUUGAACCGCAUGGUUCAUUAGUGAAAGACGGUUUUGCUGUAACUUAUAGAUGGAUCCGCGCCGCAUUAGCUAGUUGGUAAGGUAACGGCUUACCAAGGCAACGAUGCGUAGCCGACCUGAGAGGGUGAUCGGCCACACUGGAACUGAGACACGGUCCAGACUCCUACGGGAGGCAGCAGUAGGGAAUCUUCCGCAAUGGGCGAAAGCCUGACGGAGCAACGCCGCGUGAGUGAUGAAGGUCUUCGGAUCGUAAAACUCUGUUAUUAGGGAAGAACAAAUGUGUAAGUAACUAUGCACGUCUUGACGGUACCUAAUCAGAAAGCCACGGCUAACUACGUG
This 497-nucleotide ribosomal RNA is filed under the name uncultured bacterium. RNAcentral describes it as "partial 16S ribosomal RNA". It matches the Rfam family "Bacterial small subunit ribosomal RNA", at positions 28 to 507 of the family's 1533-position model. The record is from RNAcentral.